CCGACGGUGAGGGGUGAAUGCUGGGGGCGCAAACCGGAUUAGAUACCCGGGUAGUCCCAGCAGUAAACGAUGCCAGCUAUUGUUGCUGGAACCAUGGGUUCCAGCAGUGCCGAAGGGAAGCCGUGAAGCUGGCCACCUGGGAAGUACGGUCGCAAUGCUGAAACUUAAAGGAAUUGGCGGGGGAGUACCACAACCGGUGGAGCCUGCGGUUUAAUUGGAUACAACGCCGGGAAUCUUACCGUGAGGGUGACAGCAGUAUGAAGGCCAGGCUAAAGACCUUGCCAGAUCAGAUGAGAGGAGGUGCAUGGCCGUCGCCAGUUCGUACCGUGAGGCAUCCUGUUUAGUCAGGCAACGAUCGAGACCCGCAGUCUUAUUUGCCAGCAUGCCCUUUGGGGUGUAUGGGUACAAUAAGACGACCGCCAGCGCUAAGCUGGAGGAAGGAGCGGGCUACGGUAGGUCAGCAUGCCCCGAAUCCUCCGGGAUACACGCUGGCUACAAUGGUCAGG
Molecule: ribosomal RNA, 506 nt
Filed under: uncultured archaeon
Lineage: Archaea
Description: bacterial SSU rRNA
Rfam family: Archaeal small subunit ribosomal RNA
Source: RNAcentral